UAUACACCCUGAAAUGCCACCAGCUGUGGAUUUCGGAUUCCUUUGUAAGGCUCCAAGGCGCAGGCAUCACUCAUGCGAAGCUGGCAACAAUGGCAGCAGAGCUGUCCUACUGUUCAAGCUUCAAGGUAGCAUAUUUGGAUAACAGCUCCUGCAUGAAAUUGGUUAACUGAUGUUUAGAGAAAAUUUCAAUUAUCUUAGUUAUCAUGAACUUAGCAUUUGAAGAGUACCUGAUCUUCAGCUUCCAUCCCCUCGGCGUUUUGCUUCUGAGCCCACUUCUUUGCAUUUCUUUCCAGCAAAACAUAUUUCAUCACCUGCAACAAAAACCAAAUCAGUGUAGGAUCAAAACAGUUUACCGAACUCCUGAGAAGCGUUUUCCCUUUGCCAUCCUAUGUGCAAUUCAUGAUGUUACGAGACUGAGACUGUACAUCCAGUAAUUUUGUUUUGGUGGUCUGGGAUAGGUAGAACUCUGCUCUAGCUUCCUCCUGGUUCAAGCACCGAUCAACCUGAGAAAAUAGAAAGAGAACGAAUUAUAGGUUGUUACAUAAACAUAGAAUUGACUUCUUUGGGAUGCCAAAGUUUCGAGCAUUACUGACCUUCCGCAGGUAAUUGGAGAAGGAAUCACCCCAAAACCACCACUCCAAAGAUAGCUGAGAGUAGUAAGCAGCAGCUUCUGCUAGCAUUAUCUGCUCCAAUUUUUCAUAAUAGUUGGUGGUUCCAUUCCCUCCAACCUCUAAAAAGAAAUCAAGUACCCUCUUUAGUAGGUUCCGAUCAAUCUGCCCCCCUUCACGCUCUUGAAUGAUCUGCCCGUAAAGUCAUAUGCAGGGUUAAACCAACCUCAGAAAGAAGACAACCCAUUAUGAAACAACCAGUGAAUGCUAACUGACCAGCCUCAUCAUUGCUUCCUGCAAUUUACUGAAUAGCUCAUCACAGACCUGAAAAUAAGAUUGGAUAUGAUGCUCAGCCAAAUUGUGUAAGAGAACAGAAGCAAGAAUAAGAACUAAACUACUUCAUGUAGUUACUUACCAAAUUGCAGAAGUAAUAUCUCAUGGAGUCAGCAGGUGAUGGAUGUCUUUUCCUACGGAUGUAGAAAUUAUCCAGGUCUGCAAAGGUUUCUGACAAUUCCUUAUACUCCAGCCAUAAUCGCGUGAUUUCUGUUAAAAGCUCUGUACCAUGUUUGUCCAUUAACACUGGAAGUACCUGAAAGAGCAUGCAAGGAUGGAAAACAACGGGAUGUGUUCAUUAUUAUAUUCAUUGCACUUUGACAAAGAUGAAAGCAAAAGAAAUUGAAACCCUUCUCAACUGCCACGUCUCAUUUCUCCACUUGUGUAAAUUACAAAGACCACCAAUCCAGACUAAGCUAGAUAGCGAGAGAAAACAAAAUUGGGCAUGCAUAAUCAUGAGUAAAGCAUCUUGCAAAAUUAUCCUAUGAAAUAAGUUAUAAACAAGAGAGCAUGUCAUAGUAAGAGUUUCUCAUACUUUGACAUUCUUAGCCAACACAUUUAAGAUACAUGAGAGCCAAUUCUACCAGAGAAAUUAUGCAGAAGCGAAGAAACUGGAAGAAUUAUUGAUUAUAUAUGGUAGAAAUCUCACCCUUUCUUGAAUUAUCUCACUUAAACAGUUCGUAUACUUCUCAUAAACCAGGCUGCAAGAGUCCCCACGCUUCCUUGUGCACAAAUUGUAUACACACCUAUCACAAGUGUUAAGGAUAUGCCAAUUCUCGGCAACUAAAAUCACAUUCAGGAAUAUUGAUUUAUCUCGUCGAGUAGAAAAAAAAUUAACAUAUCAAACUUCGACAUGUAAGUAAACCAUAUUGCAGGAUACUCAUAAGCAAUCAUUUUUUCCGCAGGUGUAAAUGGAAUCACAGGGUGUCCAUCCAUAAUCAUCUUCUUCUUCGUAAUUAUAUCAUCUAUCUUCUUUAGCUUCUCAUUCAACAUCAUGUCAGCAUCCAUCUUCAUUUAGCUGCAGUCGAAAACAUUUAAAAUUGUAAUGAUCGCAGUUCAAAAUCAAAGAAAGAGAUAGCAUGCAUAUCUGUAUUGCACACUCAUCCGACUAUUUCUCAUUUUCCUUUUAAAAAUAGAAUUUCUAAAGUCUACAAUAGCAUCCAAAACCCUUUGAACAGACUAGAAAGUUUCUGGCGUUGACAAUUAAACUUUAUACCAAACAAACUACAUCCAAGGUCCUGUUCUAUAGGGAAGUGAAGAAAAAAGUGGGGUUUGCAUUAUACUUAUAGGGAAAGCAGCUUGCAGGGGAAGUUGAAGGGAAAGGUGGGGCUUGCAUAUACUUGUAAGGAGAAGCCACCUUGCAGUGAAAGUUGAUAGGACAUAGGUCCAUAGACCAUACGCUGUUGUUUAUUAUGUAAUAAUUGUUGUAUUUUUUAAAAAUAUUUUUAUUCAAAAAUAUAUUAAAAUAAUAUUUUUUAAAUUUUUAAUAUUAUUAUAUUAAAAUUAUAUUAAAAAAAAACAUGUUAAUUUGAUAUUUUUUUCAUAUACAAAAUAAUUUUAAAAAUAAUUUGAAUUAAUUUAAAUAAAAUUCAAUAAAGCAUAAAUAAUGAUAGCCAUAGUUGUAAAAAACUACUUAAAUGAAUUCAUUUGAUUCAAGAUUCAGAUCGAGAAUUAAGUGGUUUAAUAUGUAAAUUAAUUUAUAAAUUAUAAUUUAAAAAAUAAAAAUAUAAAAUGAUGUUAUUUUAAAUAUUUUUCUAAACAAUGUUAUUUUGGUUAUAUAUAAAAAAAACAAUUCAAAUAAAACUUGAUGUAAACCACAUUUUGGGUCAAUGAAUUACUAGAUUGGCAAGUCAGACAAAGUCAAUUUUUAUAAUUAUGAUAGUAAAGGCUAAGUUGCUUAGUGAAAAAUGGCACUAAAAUAUAAUAUGUGUUUAGAAAUGUGGUAAUUUUUAUUUUUAUGUGUGUUUUAAAAGUGUAUUUUAUUUGAAAAGAAAGACAAAUAGUAAAUUGAUAUUAUUUUAGUGUUUUUUUUUAUAAUUUUAAUGUGUUGAUAUCAAAAAUAAAUAAAUAAAUCUAAAAAAAAAUAUUUGAUGUAUUUUCAAGCAAAAACUAUUUUAAAAAAAAUAUUUUACAUCACAAUACCAAACAUAUAUUAUUCAAAUUGAGGACUAAGUGGUUUAAACCGUAGAUUAAUUUAUAAAUUAUGAUUUAAAAAAUAAAAAUAUGAAAUGAUGUUGUUUUAAAUAUUUUUCUAAACAAUGUUAUUUUAAUUAUAUAUAUAUAUAUAAAUUUAGUAAAACUUGAUGUAAACCAUAUCUUGGGUUAAUAAAUUACUAGAUUGACAAAUCAAGCAAAAUCAAGUUUUAUAACUAUGGUUGUAAAUGCUAAGUUGUUUGGUGAAAAGUGGUACUAAAAUAUUAUGAGUAUUUGAAAGUGUUUUAUCUUUUAUUUUUAUAUGUGUUUUAAAAGUGCAUCUCAUUUGAAAAAAAUAUUAAAUUAAUGUGUUUUUUGCUUUUUUAUAAUUUUAAUGUCUUGAUGUUAGAAAUAAAUAAAAAAUCUAAAAAAACUUAUUUAAUGCAUUUUGAAGUAAAAUUAUUUUUUAAAAAUACUUUAUAUCAUAGUACCAUACAUAUUUGUAAUGAAUACUACAAACAACUUCCUCUCUGUAUCUUUGACUUGAAGUUGAAAUAUUUAAAUGACAUAUUAUACUAUAACUUAAAAUGCGUGAAUUUUUUUACUAUAGAGGCAAUUAUUGUUUAUGCACACGCAAAUCACUAUGAAUAGAAUUGUUCUGCACUAUGCAUUUGUUAAAAUUUUAUUUUGGUCCUUAAAGUUUUUUUCUUGAUGAUUUAAUUCUAAUUAAAGGCCAAUUGAUUGUAAUUUUUUAGGAAAAGGUGGGGUUGAAAGAAGAGGGACUAUAAUGAAAAAGGUGUCAAACAUGGAUGGCAUGCCAUAAGUUUCAACAAAAAAUACACUUUGAUCCUCAAACUUUAAAAAUAACAUAAAUUAUACAAUUUCAGUACCUCAAUAUUUUUCAAGUUUAAGUUUUGUACAAAAACUUAUUUUUAUUAUUUUUUAGUUCCUGACUAGACAGAUGAGAGAAAAAGGUCGUCGAAUUACAGAAGUAGUAAAAGAAAAAUAUCGUUGAUACCGAUUUAGGUCAUCAAAACAGUCAAUAUUUGUGUCAAAUGGUUCCAAUUGAUGAUGAGAAUUUAUAUUAAGUAUUUUUUUGCCCUAAAAGUCUUUGAAAAUACAUAUACAAGCUCAAUUUGAAUUUUGGUUUCUGGUUUAUUUUAGUUUUUGGGGUGGUUUUUUUUUUCCCCAAGAUAAGUUUAUCAUAGUUUUAAUGUUUUCUAGGUUUAUAUUCAAGCCACCUGCCCUAAAUGAAGCAAAAAAAUAAAAAUAAAGACCCAAUCGACCAAUCCUUCUAGGGCAAGUCUAGGCACGAGCCUUGAAGAAAUGGGCUAGUCAGGUUAGUCAGGCCCAACAACAUCUAGUUUUUUUCUGUUUUUUAAUUAAUGCUUUUUACUUUAUUUGUAUUUAGAUUAAUAUCUCUUCUCUAUUUUAUUUUGUUUAAAAAACCUCUUUUAAAUUAGUUAAAAAAAACAGGUGUUUUGAAAGAAAAAAAAGUUUGAAGCCCAAUUUUCCAAUCAUCAGAAUAUUUUUUUUCAAGUCACCCUACCCCAAAUGCAGCAAAAACAAUAAAGGCCCAGUCUCUCCAUUUUUCAGCACAAGUCCAGGCACGAGCCUUGAAAAAAUAAGCCGAACAAGCUAGCUUGAUACAAAAGCGUCUGGUUUUUUUUGUUUUUUUAAUUAAUAUUUUUUUAUUUUAAUAUUUUUUAUUUUAUUUGUAUUUAGAUUAAUAAUUCUUCUCUUUUUUAUUUUGUUUUGAAAGCUUCUUUUAAAUAACAAUUAUUUUUUAGUUAUAUAUAUAAUUUUUGAAAAAAAAUUUCUUAUUCAUCUAUAAUCUUUUAUAAUUUUUUUUAAUAUUUUGUAUAUAUGAACUUUGUUUUGAAGAGGGGAAAAAAUUUAUUUGCAGAUAAUAUAUUGCAUAAUAUUUUUUUAUUUAAAUAAUUAAUGUGUAUUUAUUUAUAUUAUCAUUUAAUUGAAUAAAAAACCAUUUAACUACUUAGAAAAUUUUUAUAUAAACAAGUUUAACCAUUUUUAUAUAACAUUCUACAGAAAAGUUUGUGCUGGGAAGACCCCCGGCAUGUAAUCUAGGGAGAUUUGUCUUAACCAUAUCCUCUCAGUAAAGUUUUGGGAUCUAAGAUCCCUGCCACAUUAACAUCAGAGUGUUUAGAUUUGUGGUUUAGCGUAUUUUUUAAAGUAAUAUUAUUUAAAAAUGUAUUAAAAUAAUAUUUUUAAAAUUUUUUAACAAACAUAUAAAAAAAACUAAAAAGUAUUAUUUUAAAAAAUAAAAAUACGGUUCAACUUUAUCUCCGCGGCACACCACAAAUACAAACACAAAUUACUCGGUAGAAUGCAAGUAGAGAAGUUAUAUAGACAAGUUAAACCAUUUAACUGACUUCAUUGUCACACUCAGGAGAGUUGGGUUGCAGAUCAUACGCAAUUCAUGCUGCUGAAUAUUAUAACAGAACGAUAGUAUACUAGUUUAAAGGAUUUCAUAUUCGUAUUUAAUUAUUUAAUUAUUUUAUUUUAUUUGUGGGGUGUACCUAAAAAUGAGUUACAACAUAGUGCAUAGCGGGGAUAGGCGGAGCUUGAGCGUCAAGCAAGGUACGAUCAAUGAACAGUGGGCUGGUAAGAGAUAGUCCUCUUGCUAUUUCGGACCACGAGUUCAUAAAAUGGAUUGCAGAAGUUCCAUCUCCCAAGAUAUGGUGUAAGCCAACUCCAAGACAUACUCCUCCACAUUUAAAGAAGGUUGCCUAUUAGUCGUGGCGGAGCCAGAGUAUUUAAAAUGAGAGUACAUAUUAAUAAACAAAUAAUGAUAUUCAUAAUAUUGAAGUGUGCUUCCUUCUAGAAACUAAAAUUAAGAUUUGCACAGAUUCUCUUAUUUUUCGUGUUUGGAAUAAUAGCAAUAUUAAUUGGGCUUGUAACGAGGCUGAAGGUAGUAGAGGGGGUAUGAUUGCUCUUUGGGAUGAUACUAAAUUUCAGGUUUCAUCAGUUGAAUAUGGUUACGGGUGGAUUGGUCUAUACGGUCAGCAUAUGCAAAGUGGUUUUAUCUGUGCUAUUGUUGGUGUUUAUGCCCCUUGUUCUAUGUCAGAAAAAAAGGGAUCUUUGGAAGAACUUGUGUAUCCUUAGACAUGCCUUCCCUAUUCCGUGGUUGAUGGUGGGAGAUUUUAAUGAGACUUUGAAUCAGAUUGAUAGAAGCAGUGGCUAUCUUCAUAUCAAGGGCUCUUCAGCUUUUAGGAAUUUUCUGGAUUCUUGUCACCUUAUUGAGUAUCAACUGGCUGGAGGUUACUUCACUUGGUUCAGGAAUUGCUUGAUGAGCAAACUAGACCGUGCUUUCUCAGAUGAAUCCUUUCUUCUACAAUUCUCAAAUGUAAUGCUCCAUCGAUUACCCAGAGAAAUGUCAGACCAUUGCCCCUUGCUUGUUUCUGAUUCCCUCCUAGAGAGCGGUUAUCGGCCUUUUAAAUUUUUGGACUGUUGGCUUCAAUUUCCUAACUUCAAAAAUAUUAUUAGAGGCUUUUGGUUUGAUGGGUGUACAACAUUCCCAGGACGUUUCAGAUUUAUUAAGAAGCUUAGCUUUGUAGCAGCUCAACUUCGGCGAUGGAACAAAGAUGAUUUUGGUGAUCAGGAGUACAAGCUUCAGGUUGUGAUUUCCCAAAUUGAUGAUCUAGAGAGAAAACAGGAGGCUGAUCCUCUAUGUCCCUCAGAUCACCUCAAGCUUGAAUCUCUUAUAAAGGAUAAAUGGACCUACAGUAAUAGAGUUGAAUGCAAGUGGAGGCAGAGAUCUAGACAGUUGUGGUGCAAGCUAGGGGAUCGUAAUACCAGGUUUUUCCAUUUGAUAGCUAACUUCAGAAGAGCUAAAUCUCAUAUUAUGAUGAUCAAUCAUAAGGGGGCUGAACUCCGGUCAUUACCAGAAAUCAAAUCUGCUGCUGAUUAUUUUUUAAUCUGUAUAGAGCUCCAAUUGGGAAGAAAGCAGAGAUGGGUCAAAAAGGUUAAAUUCAAAGUUGUCUCUUUGGCUAGAGCGAGAUGUGACAUUGGAUGAAAUUAAAAGAUGUGUGUGGGAUUGUGAUGGUUCUAAGAGUCCUGGUCCAGACGGUUUCAAUUUUAAAUUCUAUAAGCUCGCUUGGGAUUUUAUUGCAGAAGACUUAUUGGACCUGAUCACUGAAUUUUUUAGAACAGGGUCUAUGCCGAAAGGGGUUAACCUCUCCUAUAUCACUUUGGUGCCGAAAAGAAAGGUUACUAUGGAAUUCAAAGAGUAUCGCCCCAUUAGUUUGAUCCAUGGUAUUUACAAGAUUAUUGCGAAGAUUUUGUCCAGCAGAUUAAAGGAAGUAAUAGGCAGCUUGAUUAGUGACAAUCAGACUGCUUUUAUAGCAGACAGACAAAUUGUUGAUGGUUUUAUGGUAGCUAAUGAAGUGGUUUAUGAUCUAAAAAGAAGUCGAAGAUCGGGUCUCAUCUUCAAGGUUGAUUUCCAAAAAGCUUUUGAUUCAGUUCUAUGGGAUUACAUUGAUGAGGUGAUGACUUACAUGGGUUUUGGUGCUAAAUGGAGAGGGUGGAUUUCCUCUUGCUUGUCUACUAGUCAGGUUUCAGUCUUAGUCAAUGGCUCUCCUUCCCCAGAGUUCAAAGUGGGGCGAGGUAUUAGGCAAGGUGAUCCCCUAUCUCCCUUUCUUUUUAAUAUUGCUGCUGAAGGUCUAUCUGUUCUCUUCCAACGUGCGGCAUCCUCAGACAUCUUUCAGGGUAUUGAUUUUGGCUCCAAUAACUUCUUAAGUCACCUUCAAUAUGCAGAUGACACUCUUGUCUUUAUGCCAGCUAGUUUGCAUGCCCUCCAGUCAGUUAAAAGAGUCUUAAGGUGGUUUGCUCUAUGCUCAGGCUUGCACAUUAAUUUUUUUAAGAGUUCUCUUAUAGGAAUCAAUGUUGAUGACUCCUGCUUGGAUGAGUUUGCAAAAUCAGUUUACUGCAGGCAUGAUUCUCUUCCAUGUAAUUACCUGGGAAUGCCUUUGGGGUCUAACCCUAGAAGGAUUUCAACAUGGAAACCCGUCAUUGAUAAGUUUCGAAAGAAACUCACUUCGUGGAAAGGGAGAAUGUUAAGCAUGGCCGGUUGCAUUUGCCUUAUCAAAAGUGUGUUGAACUCCCUUCCUUUGUACUUCAUGUCCAUCUUCCUUAUGCCAAAAGGUGUGUGUCGCUUACUUACUUCCAUCCAACGCAAAUUCUUAUGGUCGGGAACUGUCAAAAUGAGAAAAAUUUGCAAAGUCCAAUGGAGCGUGGUUGUUAGAGAUAAAGAUAGGGGUGGCCUUGGGAUUAGGUCAUUGAUAGCCAAGAAUAAAGCAAUGAUUUUCAAGUGGAUUUAGAGGCUCUCUCUUCCUGGUAAUGAGCUGUGGAAGAAGAUGAUAUUCAACAAAUUCAAGCCGGUGUUUGAAAAUGAUUUCCCUAUUUUUAGUAGAAGAUUGUCUUGUAUCUGGAGGGAUAUAACAUCCCUUAUGACCACAACAGACUCUGUCUCUUCAGCUUUAGCCAAUAAUUGCAGAUUUGUAGUGGGAAAUGGCUCUCUGACUCGAUUCUGGUAUGAUGUUUGGUUUGAUAGCUCUCCAUUGAAAGUCAUCUACCCUCGACUCUACAUUCUUACCACUAAACCGAAUGCCACAAUUGCUGACAUGGGAAUUUGGGAGCAAGGAGAAUGGAAGUGGGAGUUAGCUUGGAGGAGACAAUUGUUCCUCUUUGAAACUGAGCAGGUCGUCUACCUUCUCUCAUCUCUAGAAAGCUUUCGAAUAAAGGCAACAACUUUAGAUAAAAAAGUCUGGUCCUCUUCAACAGAUGGAGGGUAUACAGUUAAAACUUGUUCUCUACUUAUUGACAAGAUUGUGAAUCCAGGGCUUAGAACUUUCAAGGCUUCGAUAUGGCAAAAAGGGGUCCCUCCUAAGGUUCAAUCUUUUCUUUGGCUAGCUGUUCAGAAUAGACUAUGCACUAAGGAUUUCUUACUUGACCGUAAUAUAAUCCCAGUUGAUCAAGCCUUUUGUAUCUUUUGUGAAAAUGAGAUUGAGACUUCAAAUCAUCUUCUCCUCCAUUGUAGACCAGUGUGGAAAUUAUGGAUGAAAUUCUUGGAUUGGUGGGGUAUUAGUGGUUGCCUUCCCUGCUGUGUGGAUGAUCUUUUACAUCAAUGGCCCAACCUAGUGUUCGGAAAAUUCCAGCGUAAGGCUUGGUCUAUGCUUUCUUGUUGUGUUAGCUGGAGUAUAUGGCUUAUGAGGAACAAGGUAAUCUUCAAUGAUGGAACUGCGACCUUCGAAGAUAUUUUCUCCUUAAUUCUUUAUCGCCUCUCAAAUUGGCUCAAGUUUGUAGAUAAGUUCUUCAUGGCUACUGGCACUACUUUAAUUAUGGGUCCUGAAGGUAUUAUAGAUUGGUCUAACACCAAAUAAAGGCUUUUAGCAUGGCGUAUCAACUUCUUCAUUCCUAAUGUCCUUUUUCAGUUAUGUAUCUGUUGACUUUCUUUUCCUUUCUUUUUGUGUUUGUUUUUUGUUAUUGUGAUUUUUUUUUUUCAUGUAUCUUGUUUUUGGCUACCUUCUGGUUAGCCCUUUCAAUAUAUCGACUUAUUCCAAAAAAUAUUAAUAAACAAAUAUUAUAUUAUAUAGAUAUAUAUUAAAAAUCAAUUCGAAACAAAUAUAUUAAUUUAUUUAAAAUAAAAUUAAUUUAAAAAUACUUUUAAAAUGAAAAAACUUAUAUUAUAAUUAUUCUCUUUAAAUUUUCAUAAUAAAAAACAUAUUAAUUCAUCAAAACUCAUUUUACACCCCAUUACCAUGUAGCAUGCUGUAAAUAAUACAUGAAUAUGGAUCAUCAUUGAUAGUUUAAAUUUAUCAUGAUAGAUCAUUUUUAAAAAUAAAAUAAAUAUUUUUUUCUUUUUUUUUAAACCAAUCUUUAAUUUUGCAACUAUCAAUAUUUACUUAUUGAAAACAAUUGAAAUAUUUGUUUGUUUAUCUCAUGAAAAAAUUUAAUUUCAUACCGUAACCAAUUCAAUUAGAAAUAAUAUAAUUUUUAAUUAAUUCAAAAUAAUUAAAUCAAUACCUAUUUUUCAAAACAAUUCAAAAAAAAUUAAAGGGGCAAUUGCCCCCUUAAUCUCCCUAUGUGGCUCCGCCACUAAACACAUUUUUCAAACUCAAUAUAAAUAAAAAAAAACUAAAAAACUAGUUUUUUUCAUUUUCAAGAUACAAAAAAUAAAUACUUGGAUUUGAUUUUUUAGGUUAUUUGUGGUGAUAAUAGUGACUGAAAAUUGAAAUAAGAUAAAGGUGAGAAGAGUAAUAAAAAAAAUUGAAUUUAGUAUUUUAAACAUAUAAAUUCAAUUUAUUUGUCAAUUACAAUAGAAUUAAUUCCAAACAACCUCUGAAUAAAACCAUUAUAGGCUGAAUAUGUACCAUUAUUAAAACCUCAACUACACAGUCACCAAAACACUCUUCUUUUCUCUUCCUGUCAUAUUGUCUGUCCUCGAUUUUAUGCCUUGCGUAGUCUUGAAAAAAUAAGGCCUUGAACAAAAAAAUAUUUGGAUAUGAUAUUUUGGGUUAUUUGUGGUGUUAGCAGUGAAGGUGAUAAGGAUAAUAUAAAAAACAAGAUAAAUUAAAUUUAGUGUUUCAAAACAUAUAAUUAAUUUCAAUUUACUUAUUAAUUAAAUUCAAAUUUAAUACAAUAAUUAAAUUCAAUUACAAUAAAAUUAAUUUCAAACAACAUGUAAAUAACAUUAUUAAGUGUGAUGUUGAAAAAAAAAACACAACAAAUGAAGUUAUACCGUAUAAAUCAUGAACUUGCGAAUUAGAAAUCGUAAAAGAACUUCUUGAAGAGUUCCAUGUGAUGGCUUUCUAGGCAAAUAAAUAUCAUUAAGCUCCCAUCAUUAUUUGGGCAUCGAGCAAUGUAUGCCAUGCCUUCGAAGCCAACAAUUGCGGGCCCCAUAAAAGAGGGUCGACCCCAACCAAAGUCAGCAUCAUAUAUCGGCAUUGUCAUCCAACUCACAACAUUGAUGUUUGGAUUAUUAAAUGUGUGUGGCCCUCGCUUCAAAGCUUCUAAAUCAGUCUGGACCUGCAAAUAAUCAAUGGCUGAUCUCAAAUAUUCAUUGUCCAUUCUUUUCAAUGCUCCACGGAUUUUCGCUAUGGUAUGCACCAAUGGCUUUGAUUGCAUUUCGCCUGAUAAACCUAAAAUUGCUGUUGUGAAAAGAACAUUGCCACAGUAUCCGGCUGGCAAUGGUGGGUUCAAUCUUGAUCGCCCAUCUGUUGGAAUGUGUAGUUUUGUUGCUUGGUCGUUGGAGAUUCCACGUGCCUUGCAGGUGCAUUGCCAAAUAUGUGCUGCUAGGGUUUCAAAGGUGCUAUAGUUGAUAGUGCCAUCACCAACGUCUUUUCUAGACUUGUUUCUUAGGGUUCGGAGUUGAUCACAUGUGAUGGUUAGGAUUUUUGCACAAGUGGGUUUCGGAUUUGAUUGGAUUUCUGGGGUUUGGUCACCGGAGAUAUGGGUGUUCAGGGGAGGAGGGGGGUCGUAUUCUACGUGAUGCAUAGCAGGGAUAGGCGGAACUCGAGCAUCAAGCAAGGUACGGUCAAUGAACGGUGAGGUGGUAAGAGAUAGUCCUCUUGCUAUUUCAGACCACGAGUUGAUAAAAUGAAUUGCAGAAGUUCCAUCUCCUAAGAUAUGGUGUAAGCCAACUCCAAGACAUACUCCUCCACAUUUGAAGAAUGUUGCCUGUUAGCAACAUACACAGCACGUAAAUCAUAAGCAGAAAACACUUUUAAGUUUCUAAAACUCAAUACAAAUUUAAAGAAAGUUCUUUUAAAAAACUAAAAUAAUACUUUGUUUCUUCUAAAAAGAUGUCAAAUUGCAAAUAGUAAUAUAUGCAUAUUAAUUUAUUAAACUUGUUUUCCUAUCAAAGAAUGCAUGGGAGAUGCAAUGAUUGUACGUAGAUAAUGUAAUUAAACACAUUAAAUAUGGAAACUAAUAAAUCUAUUGUUAUCUCAACGUUCAAAUAAGAUCUGAGUGAUUCAAAUAAAUUAUUUUAUAAUAUGCUACUUUUCAUUUCAAAUCUAGCAUAAACCCUAAAAAAUCACGCACAACACAAAUAAUUUCAAUACUUUUGAAUAAAAUCCAAAGACAGCAUCAAAAACCUUACCUGUAACAGUAGCAGAGGAUAGGAAAAUAUGUUUGAACGAUCAACUUCUGGAACGAACUGCAGCAUCUCAAAGUGGGGAGUAAAAUCCCCCAGUUCAUCAGUGGUAGAGCUUGUUUCAACCUCGACAAAUAGAACUCCUCUGGCAUUACACAAUAUCGACAUCCUACCAUUUUGAUCCUUCUCUAACCUCCCUGCCAUAUGGUAGAAUGGCACAAGAGCCUUGCUCAGAGCCUCCUUGAGCACUUGAGGGUUAAAAAAACUGCAAGAAUCAUUAACUGGCUUGUAGAAGUAUAUUGUUGGGACGUGUACAAUUGGCACCAAGAGGUCCAGAUUUGAGCUCCAUAGGCUUUUUUUUGGUGUCUCUUCCGCAGGACGUACAAUAGUUGACUCUUUUAUUCGAAUAUCAACUUUUACCAUCUGCACAGCAACAAAAUCAUGUUAAAGACCUGUUGAUAUAUAUAAGUUGUUUAAAUUGUUGAAAAUCAACUCCAUGUUCUUAUCUUGAAAGAGAAAAAUAGAGAGAGAGAGAGAUUCGUCAUACCUUGCGGCCCUAUACAGAGAAUAAAAUUACUUUUAGAAUUAGGGGGCAAAAAAAGCUUCGUCCCCACCCUCACGCACUCAGAGGAGGAGGAAAGAGGGGCUUUUGUACACAGUUGGUGAAGACGAAUCCUAUUUAUAGAUAGACAAACAGCUUAACAUAUUUUCUUUAACGUUUUAGAAUUUAGAGGGGGAAAAAAAUGAAAGUGGGAGUUAUUAAUUUGAAGUGUCAGACAAAAUAUAAUAUUGCAAGUAAUGCAAGGUGUUCUCUAGCUACUUCUCCGACAAAUCUUAAUUUCACAUUCAUACAAAUCUUAAUAUCACAGGGAUACAAGUACAUAUUUGUUAUGGAAAGUACUUUCUGAUAAAUUAAUUUUCAAAUUUUAUUGUGUUUGUUUGUUAUUAAAAAAGUUGGUCAAUAUAAAACAUUUUCUGGUCAACAUAAAAUACUUUCUAGUCAAUGGAAAACACUUUCCGGUCAACGAAACAUAUUUUUCAGUCAAAGAAAAAUUUGGCUUGGUUUUUAGGAAAAUAUUUUUCCUUUAGCUGUGUUUGUUUUUCGGAAAGUGAUUUUCAGGAAAUCACUUUCCAAACUUUCUUGUGUUUGUUUGUCAUUAGAAAAGUUAGUCAAUGGAAAACACUUUCCAGUAAAAGAAAAAUUUAACUUAGUUUUCAAGAAAGUGUUUUCCUGAAAAUUUUGAGGGAAAAACACUUUCCGGAAGUUGUGAAAAAUUUAGAAAUGUCAUUAUUUGCUAAUUAUAUCAAAUUUGAUCCUCAAACUUUUGAUUGCUAUAUAUAUUUUGUUUUGAAUAUUUAUUUUUCAAUUUCAUCUCUUAAAAAUUUAUUUUUAUAUUAACUUUGGUCCUUAUUUUUAUAAUUGCUAUUUGCUUUUUCCUUAUCAAUUUUUUAUUGAAAUUUUUUAUCUAUCAAAUUUGGUCCUUAUUCUUUUGAUUGUUACUUAUUUUAUUUGAAAUAAUUUAUGAAAUAUUAAUUAUUAUUAUUUUAAUUUCUUCAUCUUUUUUUAUUUUUUUUUAAAAAAAUUUAGAUUUGAUCUCUAUUAUUUUGAUUAUUAUUGAUUUUAUUUGAGAUAAUUUAUGAAAUUAUAUUUUUUUUCAAUUUUUUUCUCAUUUAAAUUUUUAAUUUUUAAUACUUAUUCUUUAUUAUUUUAAUAAACUUGAGAAAAAUAAAAUAUUAAUAAGUUAUUUUUCAGCUCAUUUUCUAUUACAUAACCAAACACUGGAAAAUGUUUUCCAACUUACUUUCCAUUACACUACCAAACAUCAGAAUUCACAUUCCCGAAAUUCACAUUCCUGAAAUUUACUUUUUCAGAAUUUAUUUUUCUUAAAAUUUAUAUUUUUUUUAAAUAUUACUUCUCAGCAAAUAAACCGGCUAAAUCUUAAUUAAUAGCUACUCGGGAAUCACUAUAUAUUUUAUGGAUAUAAGAUGGUCAUGGAAUCCAUGCAUUUAAUGCCCUAGAUCAUUAUCUCUGUUGCUGUUGCACUGGGAACGACAAUAUCUCCUAUCGACACCUCAUUGGUAGUUGAGUUUAAAUGAUUGUCCUACUCCUACAUAUUGUCAUUAUCCAUGCAUUUUAAGAUAACAAAAAAUAUUUAGAAGUUCUCAAUAUUUUUUAUUCUAGUAGAAAUUUAAAUUGAAUUAACCCUAUUAAUUUUAUGAGUUUAAAAAAUAACUCGAACAACCUAUAAAAAUAUUCAUGAUGAUAUUUUUUAAUAUUAAAAUAACAAAUAUUAGAUUAAUUUGGAUCAACACAGGUUAUGAAAUUAUAAAAACUUUGUAGAAAACAUAUCAAAAUAAAUUAUAAAACUUAAUCCCCAGUCAAUUUAAUGUUGAAGAAUAAAAUUAAAAAAAAUCAAUUAUUUUUUUUAAAAAAAAGGAAAACCAAUUUAAUCUGUGAAAUUCACUACCCAAGUCAUAAAACUGAGAUAAUCUCAUAGAAAAUAAAUCAAAAUAAAUUAUGAAAUUCAAUUAUCGGUUAAAUUAAUAUUAAAUGAUAAGAUUAAAAAAAAUCAAUUAAAAAUAAUAAAAAAAAAUAACUCAAAACAUCCCCAAAUUUAUAAUAUAACUUAAAGAUAAUUUUCUCUUCAUUUAAAGUGAAAAAACGAGGCUAAUUCCUUUUUGUCACAGCAUAUUAUCAAUGAUAAUGCUCAACUAGAAUAAUUCAAGUUAUUGAUUUGGUUGGCCAAUUUCUCCCAUAUUUUUUUAGUUUUUCUUAUUAGUCGAUUAAUCAGUUGACAGGUUUCAUCGAUCGAUUAAAACAAUAAUGACUUGAAGUAUACAUUUAAUCAAAUGGUCAACCGAAAUGAUUUGUACACUCAGUCAGUCCAUCGACAUCGGAUGUUGUUGCUAUUUAUGUUUUGAAUUAUAACAAGUUAAAUGUAACAACCUCACUUUUAUUACAUUUCCAAUUUCCUGACCCGUCAUCCUAGAUUAACCCCACAUCAUUAUACACAAGAAUAGACAAUAUAUUUUAAAAGUGUAUUUUACAUGAAAAAAUAUUAAAAUAAUAUAUUUUAUAUAUUUUUUAAUUGUUUUAAUAUAUUAAUAUUAAAAAAUAUAUUUUUAAAAAGUAUUAUGCAUUAUAAUAUAAAACACACAUUAACUCAAAACCAUCUCGAAUGAAAAAAAAAAGUAAAUAAAUAAAUCGAUGUCCCUAACAAUGAUUCACUAUGGACCUACCCGACGCUGGACUUAUAAACAUGGCACUGAUGGAGUUAAACAAAUUGUCAGAAGCCAUAGAUGAUUUUUAUAUCUUUUGCAUACACCACUUGCUUUUUAAAUACAAAAUUAUUAUUUUAAUGAUAAAUUACAUUAUUAUUUUUAUCUAAACUUACAAUUAAAAAAAACAAGGCUAAAAAACUCAAAUACCCCAAACAACAAUGAAUUCAAUAAUUUGUAUCUAAAAGAUACAUGUAUAAUUCUAUUGUGUAUGAAAAGACAAAAUACUUAAAUACCCUUACCCGAGAUAACUGUUUUUUUUUAGGAUAUUUUGAUUAUUUUAUUGUUCAUUAACACAUUAAAUGUAUAAACAGAAAUAAUCGUAAACAAAUCAAUAAUGAUUAUUACAACUUGUAAAAAUAUUAAAAUACUCUUAGUCUAAAAAUUUGUUUUUUAUAUAAAGAAAAAAAAAAUGCAAAAUAAUCAUAUUACACACGGAAUGCAAUUCUAAAUUUCUAGUCCCGCCAUGAAUAAUGUUUUUCUUUUCUUGAUCCCAGACAUCUCCUCUAUGAUUGAUUGUAUCAUUAUUACCGUCCUAACUAUUUAAUUUACGACGACAUUUACAUCGAAAAAGGUGUGAAAAUAAUCCAUUAAUAAUACACAAGUUGUCAAUUCUAUUCCGUUCCGUCUGAAAUGGUCGAAAUAUUCUAUAUCAAUUCAAACAACGGAACAAAACGGAAUAAAUUUUAUCUCAUUUUAAAUCUCGGCUCGUUCUGAAUUUUUCAAAACGAUGACAAAAAGUCAUUCUACAUAUUCCGUUCCGCUCUUGAAAAGUCAUUAAAUCAAAUUAAACAUUGUUUAAUUUCAUUAACUAAAUCACCUAAUUAUAAAAAGUUCUUUUUCAUUCCUAUUUUCAAUAGCAAUGAUAUUAAUAAUAAUAUUAAAAAUUAUUAUUACUAUUUUCAUUAACAAUGAUAUUAAUUUUUUAAAAUUAGAUUUAUCACUAAUAUAUAUGGUUUAUAUUCAUGUUGUUUUUUUUUUCUUCAUAUUUAUACUUUGUAGGAAUUUGAGCAAAACAAGGAAUGCUUUAUAUUCCAUUAGCCACUUGAUAACAUUGACUUAAUUUUAUAUUUAAAAUAUUUUUGUUAAAACAUUUUAUUUUCAUAAUAUUUUGAUAUUUUAUUUAAGUUGAAUUACUUUAAGUUAAAGAUCCAUUUAAUCUUGACUAUUUAGAAAUAUUUUAAAAUUUAAAAUUAUAUUUGUUUGGCAUUGUGUUUAUAUUGCAUAAUUUAUAAUUAAUUUAUCUUGAAUUUGAAUUAUGUUUGUUGAAUAUAUAUAUAUAUAUAUAUAUGAACAGUACAACUUUAAAACGAUAUGCCAAAACAUUUCAAAACUGAAACAUUUCAUUUUAAUUGAAAAAAUAAAAUAUUUAUUGAAAUAGAAUUUACACCCUUGAUAUAAUACGUUUGAUGUAGGGCAUGGUUCGCCGUGGACCUACCAUCUUUAAUAAGUUUGAUGCACUCGGAUAAAUUGUCAGAAAGCCAUAGAUAAUUAUGGAUCCUACAAAAUGUCAUGUCCUUGCCUUUGUCUAGAUUUUAAACAUGGCAUGGAAUUAACUGGACAUCAAUUAAAAACUCAAAAAAUGAAAGGGAAAUGAGGGAAAAUAUAGAUGUAUAAAGAAACUAAAAAUCACAAAAUAUAUACAAAGCACGUCAAUCAUAAACAGAAAACACAUUUUUCAAACUCAAUAUAAAUAAAAAAAACUAGUUUUUUUCAUUUUCAAGAUAGAAAAAAUUCUCUCCUCCGAGUAGCCUAUAAAACUACUGUCUAAAUACAAAAAAAAAAAUGCUAAUAAAUAAAAUUCUAAAUAAAUUGAAAGUCAUAGUCUAAAUAAAAAGGAAUAAAAAAAACAAGAUAAAUAAAGAAAAUCUUGUGUAUAACUUAAGCUGAAUUUAGAUAUGCGAGCUGACUCAAGUGAAUUAUUUGUCUUCGAAUAUUUAAAUCUGGUAACAGGUUCUUUGCAUCUCACGUGAUAUAUUAUAUAAUUAAUCCUUACACAUCCUUCCCAUGCUAUGAGUACUUUGCCUUGGAUUGGUAAAAAACACUGUAGAACACAAAUAGUUUCAAUACUUUUGAACAAAAUCCAAAGAAACAUAAAACUCACCUGUGCGAGUAGUAGAGGAUAGGAAAAUAUGCUUGAACGAUCGACUUCUGGAAUGAACAGCAGCAUCUCAGAGUGGGGAGUAAAAUCACCCAGUUCAUCAAUGGUAGAGCUUGUUUCAGCCUCGACAAAUAGAACUCCUCUGGCAUUACACAAUAUCGACAUCCUACCAUUUUCAUCCUUCUCUAACCUCCCUGCCAUAUGGUGGAAUGGCACAAGAGCCUUGCUCAGAGCCUCCUUGAGCACUUGAGGGUCAAAAAAAGUGGAAGAACCAUUGACUGGCUUGUAGAAGUAUACUGUUGGGAUGUGUACCAUUGGCACCAAGAGGUCCAGAUUUGAGCUCCAUAGGCUUUUUUCUGGCGUGUCUUCGGCAGUGAUAAGGGAAUUUUUAGCAUAUAUAUUUUUCGCUAUUCAUGCUUGAUUUUUAAAUAUUUUGGAUAUGUUGAACAAGAAAAUUAGAAUUUUGAAUCUCUUUUUGAACUAUUGACCUCGUGGGAAAUUAAUGUGUUUUCAGAUCUUAGGUUACUAAACAGGCAGAGCCGGGCAGUGAAACUGAACAGUGAUUCAUUAUGUGCUGCAAAGAAGCUAUACAAUUUAGUUCCGGAUGUUCGUAACCAUUUUCAAAUAGCUGAGAUGAAGGUCUACAAAACAUAUGAAGGGCAUAUAACUCAGUUUUGUUGUUUCGAAGCCCAAAAAGCGAGUUGAAAAACAAGGAUUGAACCAGCCCGAAACUCCUGCACUGCAAAGACUGCUUCGGUUUAUGGCCCUUAUCUCAGCACUCAGACGUCCAAAAAUUGCAAGAUCAGUUUUGUUGGAAAGAAAAUUUGAUUCUCUACAAUUUCUCCAGAAAUAGAGAUCUUCUAAUUCGCACGUUUUCUACCUCAAAUCGGGCCCGCAAUGUCUGAGUAGGAAGGAAUUUAAUGCAGAAUAGGAAAUUUUCCUCAUUACUGCAGGGGUAGAAAAGCCACAAUAUAAAAGAAGAGAAAAAGGGGGAUUGAAAGACGGAAACCUACAACAUAGAAAAAAAAAGAGAGGAGGCGGCACCAAGGGAAAAGAAAACAUUGGCAGAGGCAAAACUAUUCAAAAACCGGGAGGACACCUAUCUUUUCGACGGAAAUUCUCUGCUUUUGAGUGAUGUUCAUCGUAUCAAGUUUGUUUCUCUUUAAUUUAACUAUGGAGUAGACUUUUAUUCUGGGAUUUUUGAUGUAACCUUACUAUGAAUAUGUGAACAAUUUCUUCGAUUGAAUUAUUACAUUAAGAUGUUGAGUAUUUGAUUCUAUGUGUAAUGCUUGCGUGUGUUUGGCCAACAUUUGCAUGAUUUAGAAUUCAAUUUGAAACUGAGAAGUAAUAAUUGUUUUAGCUAUUGUUUGAAAUACCUUAAGAAAUCUAUAGGAUAGAGAUAUCCUAUGAACUUUUGUAAUCGUUACAGGUUUUACAGUACUUAAUAAAUAUCGACAAGUUCAGAACUUUCGUAGAGUAUAUGAAAUUUGUUUGUCGAAAUAAUUUAUUGAUGCUCGAGAGAGAUUAAUAUUUACAUUAGAAAAACCUGAUUAUCAACAUUAGGAGUAAUUAAUUUAAUUGAGAAAGUUCACAUAGGCAUAGUUACGGUAAGUCAGAAAUCCUAGAACCAGUACAAUUGAAUUCAUUAAUAUUUAAUCAAAUAGUUGUUACCUUUUAAUCAUUAAUUUUUGCAAAUCCUCGUGGGACGAUACUCUACUCAUCACUUUAUUACUUGUUACGAUUUAUGCACUUGCAAAAAUAACCAACAAGUUUUUGGCGCCGUUGCCGGGGAUUUUAGAUAAAAUUACUAAUAAUAUCAAUAUAAAUUAAAUUUGAUCUAAUUUGAUUGCCUUUUGUCUUCAGCUCUUUAGGUGUGUGUCUAGUGCAUGAGAAGCAACAAAAAUUAGCCGUUGCUACCUUAUAAUCCUGAGAUUGAGAGAACUGCAAGGGGAUUAAGAAAGAAAACGCGAGAGACUCAAAACAGUUCAAGCAUCAUGGUAGACAAUGGAAAUCCUGAGCAAGAUACACGGGCAUUGAGAGAUUUUGCUCUCCCACAGGUGACAGGAAUCCGUUCUGUUAUCAGGAAACCAAGGAUUGAGGCCAAUAAUUUUGAGAUCAAACCAGCAAUACUGCAGAUGAUUCAGACCUCAGUUCAGUUUUAUGGGUUGCCAAGUGAUGAUCCUAACGCCCAUAUUGCAAGCUUCUUGGAAAUUUGCGACACAUUUAAGCAUAAUGGCGUUACUGAUGAUGCCAUUCGCCUCAGACUGUUUCCAUUUUCUUUGCGAGAUAGAGCGAAGAACUGGUUAAACUCCAUGCCUGCAGAUUCAGUUAUCAGCUGGGAAGAUUUAGCUCAGAAAUUCCUUGCUAAAUUUUUUCCACCAGCCAAGACAGCAAAAAUGCGCAUUGAGAUAGCUAACUUCGCCCAACUUGAGAGUGAACCAUUGUAUGAGGCAUGGGAGAGAUACAAGGAUUUGCUCAGGCGAUGCCCCCACCAUGGACUACCGAAGUGGAUGCAGGUGCAGAAUUUUUACAAUGGAUUGAAUGCCUCCACAAGAACACUAAUUGAUGCAGCUUCAGGAGGAGCUUUUAUGAGUAAGUCACAGGAUGAUGCUUACAACUUAUUGGAAGAAAUGGCUAUGAACAAUUACCAAUGGCCAAAUGAAAGAAGCAUACAGAAGAAGACUAUUGGGGUGCACGAAAUUGAUGCAAUCACGGCAUUAACAGCUCAAGUCCAUUCACUAACUCAGCAACUGAAAACCACUCAACUGUCAGCAAAUGCCAUCCAUACAACGUGUGAUUUUUGUCAUGGAAAUCACACGAGUGAAGAGUGUCAGGUUGGGAACCCAUUCUCUCAAGCAGAGCAUGCUCAUUUUGUGUCAAAUUACAGCCGGCAGAACAACCCCUACAGUGCAACAUAUAAUCCCGGUUGGAGAAAUCAUCCUAAUUUCUCAUGGAACAAUCAAACUGUCAUGAAGAAUCCAGCCAUGCCAUCUUCAAGUGAGCACAUGAAGGAGAAAUCAAAACUUGAAGAAGCUAUGACACAAUUAGCAAACAACACCAGCAGAUUCAUGACUGAUACAAAUACCAAUCUGCAGAACCAAGCAGCGUCAAUUCGAAAUUUGGAGGUUCAGGUUGGUCAGUUAGCCAACAUGCUCACGGGUAGACAACAAGGAAAUCUACCAAGCACAACUGAAAUUAAUCCUAAGGAGCAAUGCAAGGCCAUAACUUUAAGAAGUGGAAAAGAAGUGGAGCAGACUGCUGGAAACAAGAGUGCGGGAAGAGAAGAAGAGGAGCAAAUGGCCGAACCAAUUCAGAAUAUGAAAAAAUCUGAUCCUCUGCCAGAACCAAUGCAAGAAAUAAUGCAAAGAAUUCCAUUUCCACAACGUCUCAAGAAGAAUAAACUUGAUAAGCAAUUUUCUAAAUUUCUUGAUGUGUUUAAAAAAUUGCAGAUUAACAUUCCUUUUACAGAUGCUCUUGAACAAAUGCCAAGCUAUGUGAAAUUUCUGAAGGACAUCCUCUCAAACAAAAGAAAGCUAGAGGAAUAUGAGACUGUCGCUCUUACUGAGGAAUGCAGUGCUAUUUUGCAGAAGAAACUGCCUCCUAAACUUAAGGAUCCAGGGAGUUUUACUAUACCAUGUUCCAUUGGAAAUUCUAUAUUUGAAAAAGCUUUAUGUGAUUUAGGUGCAAGUAUUAAUCUCAUGCCUUUAUCUAUUUUAAGAAGCUUGGUUUAGGUGAAGCAAGGCCAACCACAGUAACACUGCAGCUAGCUGACAGGUCAUUGAAGCAUCCAAGGGGAAUAAUUGAAGAUGUAUUGGUGAAAGUGGGCAAGUUCAUCUUUCCAGCAGACUUCAUCAUACUGGAUAUGGAGGAGGAUAAUGAGAUUCCUAUCUUGCUUGGCCGGCCAUUCUUGGCCACUGGAGGUGCGUUAAUUGAUGUGAAAAAGGGGAGCUGCGGUUAAGGGUGAAUGAAGAGGAGGUGAUUUUCAAUGUGUUCAAAGCCAUCAAACAACCAGAUAUGGGGGAGAGUUGCUUCAGCAUUCAAGUGGUGGACUCCUUAAUUAAUGAAAAAGUCAAGCUUCCAACUGACCCGUUGGAAGCAUGUUUGGUAAAUAAUGUACUGGAAGAGGAUGCUGAAAUAGCAGAAUAUACAUGUUGGAUGGACUCUUUUGAACCUAACCGUAGAAGAUACUUUGAAGAUUUGGGACAACCAGCACCAAAGAUAAAAUCAACCAGUGAACAAGCACCGGUUCUGGAAUUGCAACCUCUGCCAGAACACCUUCGGUAUGCAUAUCUUGGAGAAGCUUCCACCUAUCCUGUGAUAGUCUCUGCAAAGCUGACCAAAACAGAGGAAGAAAAAUUGUUGAGGGUGUUGAGAAAACAUAAGGCAGCUCUCGGGUGGGUAUUGGCAGAUAUCAAAGGCAUCAGUCCCUCUAUUUGCAUGCAUAAAAUUCUGUUGGAGGAUGAAGUCAAGCCAACAGUAGAACAUCAGAGAAGGCUUAACCCGACCAUGAAAGAGGUAGUCCGAAAAGAAGUUCUGAAAUGGUUAGAUGCUGGUGUUAUUUAUCCAAUCUCUGAUAGCUCAUGGGUGAGCCCAGUUCAAGUUGUGCCAAAGAAAGGAGGAAUGACAGUGGUAAAGAUGCAAACAACAACUUGAUACCUACUAGACCGGUAACUGGAUGGAGGAUUUAUGGAUUAUCGAAAGCUCAACAAGGCAACUCGCAAAGAUCACUUCCCCCUACCAUUCAUUGAUCAGAUGCUGGACAGGUUAGCUGGGCAUGAAUACUACUGUUUCCUAGAUGGCUAUUCAGGAUACAACCAAAUAGCCAUCGCACCUGAGGACCAGAGAAGACCACUUUCACCUGCCCUUAUGGUACUUUUGCUUUCAGAAGAAUGCCUUUUGGGUUGUGUAAUGCACCAGCUACCUUUCAAGGUGCAUGAUGGCUAUUUUUUCAGAUAUGGUGGAGCAAAUCAUUGAGAUCUUCAUGGAUGACUUUUCUGUAUUUGGAACUUCUUUUGAUGACUGCCUUGCAAAGUUGGCGUUGGUUUUGGAGCGUUGUGAAAAGACAAACUUGAUAUUGAACUGGGAAAAAUGUCACUUCAUGGUAAAGGAAGGUAUAGUGGGGCACCGGAUUUCAGAAAAAGGAAUAGAGGUAGACAGAGCUAAAAUUGAGGCAAUAGACAAGCUUCUGCCGCCAACUACAGUAAAAGGGGUUAGGAGUUUCCUUGGUCAUGCGGGAUUUUAUAGGAGGUUCAUCAAAGACUUCUCUAAAAUAUCCAACUAUGCAGUCUGCUGCUAAAAGACACAAAGUUUCAGUUUGAUGAGGAAUGCAAGACACCUUUAUGCUGUUGAAAAAGAAGUUAGUGACAGCUCCUAUUGUAAUUGCACCGGAUUGGGAGAAACCAUUUGAGCUUAUGUGUGAUGCAAGUGAUUAUGCAGUUGGAGCAGUACUGGGGCAACGGAAAAAUAAUGUGUUUCACACCAUAUACUAUGCCAGCAGAACACUCAACGAUGCCCAGCUCAAUUAUGCCACAACCGAGAAAGAGUUGCUUGUUGUGGUCUAUGCAUUUGAUAAGUUUCGGCCUUACCUGAUGGGAAACAAAGUACUGGUAUAUACUGAUCAUGCUGCAAUUAGACACCUAGUGUCUAAGAAAGAUGCCAAGCCUAGACUCAUCCGUUGGAUCCUAUUACUGCAAGAAUUGAUGUAGAAAUUAAAGAAAAAGGGGACUGAGAACGUGGUGGCAGAUCAUCUUUCAAGGCUGGAAUUGACACAGCAGCUGGAGCCUAAAUUCACGGUUAUAAAUGAAUGUUUUCCUGAUGAAGACUCUUAGCAAUUUCCACUAACAAAUUCUUUCCUUGGUAUGCAGAUUAUGUCAACUUUCUUGCAGGUAAGAUCAUACCGCCAGAUUUUUCUUACCAGCAAAAGAAGAAAUUUUUUUCUGAAGUCAAACACUACUUCUGGGAGGAGCCGAUACUCUAUCGGCAUUGUGCAGAUCAAGUCAUCAGGCGGUGUUCCAGAAGAGGAAAUGACAAAAUAUUGAAGCACUGCCAUACACUUGAAUAUGGGGGGCACUUUGGCACACGCACUGCAGCCAAAGUUCUGCAAGUCAGGUUUUUAUUGGCCCACUAUGUUUAAAGAUGCUCAUGCUUUUGUUACUACUUGUGAUAGAUGUCAGCAUACUGGGAACAUAUCUCGAAGAAAUGAAAUGCCACUACAGAAUAUCCUAGAAGUUGAAUUAUUUGAUGUUUGGGGCAUCGAUUUCAUGGGACCUUUUCCUUCAUCCUAUAACAACAAAUACAUUCUCUUAGCAGUGGAUUAUGUAUCAAAGUGGAUGAGGCAAUUGCAACGCCUACAAAUGAUGGCAAGGUGGUACUUAAUUUCUACGAAAGAACAUCUUUACCAGAUUUGGUACUCCUCGAGCCAUCAUCAGUGAUGAAGGAACUCAUUUUUGCAACAAGCAGUUUGAAGCACUGUUAUCUAAGUAUGGAGUCAGACACAAAAGAGCAUUGGCUUAUCAUCCUCAGACAAAUGGCCAAACAGAGGUAUCAAAUAGAGAGGUGAAGCAAAUCUUAGAGAAAACAGUAAGUAAUUCUCAAAGAUUGGGCAAGAAAGCUAGAUGAUGCAUUGUGGGCAUAUCGGACAGCAUUCAAAACACCAUUGGGAAUGUCUCCGUAUCGAUUAGUUUUUGGAAAAGCAUGUCAUCUUCCUGUUGAAUUAGAGCAUAAGGCAUACUGGGCAAUGAAACAACUGAACAUGGAUUUGCAGGUUGCAGGUGAGAAAAGAAUCCUGCAACUUAAUGAGAUGGAUGAAUUUCGCAAUGAGUCCUAUGAAAAUGCCAAGAUAUACAAGGAAAGAACCAAGGCAUGGCAUGACAAACACAUUGUACGCAAGGAGUUUGUCCCUGGUCAACAGGUAUUACUCUUCAAUUCACGGCUCCGCUUGUUUCCUGGUAAGCUUAAAUCACGAUGGUCAGGACCAUUUACGGUUGUGAAGGUAUUUCCUUAUGGAGCAGUAGAGGUCACCCAUGAUGAAAAGGGAACAUUUACAGUGAAUGGGCAGCGUCUGAAGCAUUAUAGGAAUGGAGAGUCUAUUGGGAAAAGGGAUGAUAUCCCUCUCACUUCAUCUUAGAUAAAUGGAAAACUCAAGCUAAUGACUAUAACUAAGCGCUGAUUGGGAGGCAACCCAAAAAAAAAAAAAAAAAACCCUUAUGUGUUUCAUUGAGUUGUGCAGGAAUUGAUGAUACAAGAAAAUAACCAGGAGCAACAACAAACUCACACCCACAAAGUCAAAAGGAAGUAUUCGUAAGCCUUUCUAUUCUUCAUUUUUCCAUUGAGGACAAUGUGAUAUUUAAGUUUGGGGGAGACAUUGCAUGCUUUGACUAUGAAAGACACUGCACACUAGAACCAUGAAAACAGAGGGUGAAAAGUGAUAUGCAUUUAAGACCAACUUGACAUUUUUAGGUGCUUCAUGAUGUAACCAUGAUAUUUCUUGGCUUAGAGCGGAUGAUAUCUUAUAAAGUUGGAUUAAGCAUGACUAUUUUCUUUUGAAUUAUUGAAGUACACUUUUCCAGCACAAUCAUGUGAAUUGUGUAGUUAUGCAUAAGAGAUAAGUGUGCUGUUCUUUCUUGUUAUUACCCUCUAAGAAAAAUAUUAAAACAAGGAGUGAUAAUGAGUAUGAAAUGAAUGAAUAAGUAUAUGAUGUGUAUCUACUCCAAUGUUUUGAGUUGCUUAGUAACUAGGAGUAUUCAUCACAAAUGUUUACUUUUACGUCAAACGGCAGCUUAAAAUUUGAGUAUGCAAAGCAUUUUAAGUUUAUGACCUGUUAAGUAACCGGGUGCAUUCAUCACAAAUGUUUGUAUUCGCGUCAAAAGACAAGUGAUAAAUUUAAAAAAAUCACCCUUGUCAAAAGACAAGUAAAAGUGUGUUAUUACUCCUAAAGUUGGCUACCUUGUUUAAAAAAAAAAAAAAAUAAAAAAAAAAAAAAGUAAUGACGGAAUGACUGUGCACGGUUCAAGGAUGCUAACACAUGAAACACAUGGAUGAGUUGGAAGUUUGUACAACGACCUGAAGAGAGUAGAAUGCUUAAUUUUUCAUUAUCUAAUAUUGUCUAUGAGCUAAGUCAAGAAGUGAACGCUGCAUGAUGGGGCCUUUUAAAUGUGAAAGUUGAACUUAUCAUGAGCUUUUAGCACUCUGCUUUCAUGGUUUCCUUUUUGCUUGAGGACAAGCAAACAUUCAAGUUUGGGGGUAUUUGAUAAGGGAAUUUUUAGCAUAUAUAUUUUUCGCUAUUCAUGCUUGAUUUUUAAAUAUUUUGGAUAUGUUGAACAAGAAAAUUAGAAUUUUGAAUCUCUUUUUGAACUAUUGACCUCGUGGGAAAUUAAUGUGUUUUCAGAUCUUAGGUUACUAAACAGGCAGAGCCGGGCAGUGAAACUGAACAGUGAUUCAUUAUGUGCUGCAAAGAAGCUAUACAAUUUAGUUCCGGAUGUUCGUAACCAUUUUCAAAUAGCUGAGAUGAAGGUCUACAAAACAUAUGAAGGGCAUAUAACUCAGUUUUGUUGUUUCGAAGCCCAAAAAGCGAGUUGAAAAACAAGGAUUGAACCAGCCCGAAACUCCUGCACUGCAAAGACUGCUUCGGUUUAUGGCCCUUAUCUCAGCACUCAGACGUCCAAAAAUUGCAAGAUCAGUUUUGUUGGAAAGAAAAUUUGAUUCUCUACAAUUUCUCCAGAAAUAGAGAUCUUUAAUUCGCACGUUUUCUACCUCAAAUCGGGCCCGCAAUGUCUGAGUAGGAAGGAAUUUAAUGCAGAAAGGAAACUUUCCUCAUUACUGCAGGGGUAGAAAAGCCACAAUAUAAAAGAAGAAAAAGGGGGAUUGAACAGCGGAAAACCUACAACAUAGAAAACAAAAAGAGAGGAGGCGGCACCAAGGAAAAAAGAAAAUACACCUUUGGCAGAGGCAAAACUAUUCAAAAACCGGGAGGACACCUAUCUUUUCGACGGAAAUUCUCUGCUUUUGAGUGAUGUUCAUCGUAUCAAGUUUGUUUCUCUUUAAUUUAACUAUGGAGUAGACUUUUAUUCUGGGAUUUUUGAUGUAACCUUACUAUGAAUAUGUGAACAAUUUCUUCGAUUGAAUUAUUACAUUAAGAUGUUGAGUAUUUGAUUCUAUGUGCAAUGCUUGCGUGUGUUUGGCCAACAUUUGCAUGAUUUAGAAUUCAAUUUGAAACUGAGAAGUAAUAAUUGUUUUAGCUAUUGUUUGAAAUACCUUAAGAAAUCUAUAGGAUAGAGAUAUCCUAUGAACUUUUGUAAUCGUUACAGGUUUUACAGUACUUAAUAAAUAUCGACAAGUUCAGAACUUUCGUAGAGUAUAUGAAAUUUGUUUGUCGAAAUAAUUUAUUGAUGCUCGAGAGAGAUUAAUAUUUACAUUAGAAAAACCUGAUUAUCAACAUUAGGAGUAAUUAAUUUAAUUGAGAAAGUUCACAUAGGCAUAGUUACGGUAAGUCAGAAAUCCUAGAACCAGUACAAUUGAAUUCAUUAAUAUUUAAUCAAAUAGUUGUUACCUUUUAAUCAUUAAUUUUUGUUUCAUAAACUAUCUCAUUUGAUUCUUCAAAUAGAUCAUAAUUUAAAAGACUUUGGUAAUUAGUAGUAAUUUUUGUAAAUCCUCGUGGGACGAUACUCUACUCAUCACUUUAUUACUUGUUACGAUUUGUGCACUUGCAAAAAUAACCAACAGGCAGGUCGCACGAUAGUUGACUCUUUUAUUCGGAUUUCAACUCUUACCAUCUGCAUAUUUGCAACAAAAUCCUGUUAAAGUCCUGUUUGUUGAUAUAUGCUGUUUAAAUUGUUGAAAAUCAACUCCAUGUUUGCUUAGCUUAGUACAUUGCAGUAUAUGUUAAAUAUUAAUGAAGCAGAAUUAAAUAUUUAAACUCAUACUUUAUUCGCCUAGUUAGAAUUUUCUUCUUAGAAGAAAAAAAAAAUAGAGGGGGGGGGGGUGUGCGCAGAUGGUGACGACCACUCGUAUUUAUAGAAGAAAAAAAAGAAAAGGAAGGAAGAAACGAGGGGGUGAAAACAAUUUGGGUGCGUUUUGCUGGCGGCCGUUCAACCGUAUUUUUCUAAUUUAUUUUUUAUAUAUUUUAAAAAUAUUUUGAUAUAAUAAUAUAAAAAUAUAUUAUUUUAUAGUUAAUAUUGAUGUUUUAAGAAUAGUGUUAUUUUUUAAUAUAUAUAUAUAUAUUAAUUAACUCUUUGCAUGAACCUCUAAAACUAAUGCUUAUAUAGAGAGACUUCAAUUUUCUAAUAUCACGUUUUUUCUAUCGCCACAACAAUUAUUUGUCAAAUAGUUACAAUUGCUUAAAGUGCCAAGGUGUUUUAUUUUUAAAAAUGUUUUUCAUUUUUAACAUUCAAAUAAUAUUUUUUAUUUUUAAUAUAAACAUAUUAAAAUAAUCUUGACAGAUUCCUUGCCAGAAAGAAAUUAAUGUGGGGGGAAUAUUGUGGGACCUCCACGCUUUAAAGCACGAGAUUUCGAGUCUUACGUGUCUACCAUUUAACCACUAAGGCAGAUUUCUUGUCAGAAAGGACAGAUGCAACUGUGCUAGACUGCUAGCCUCUACGGCAUUCAAUGCGCUGCCUGCCACCUGUCUCUGCGUGUUCUGUCUUUUUCUUUCUCUGUACUGCCACCGCUAAUUAUUGGACAUUUACUGCCUUUGCUUGUCCUCCUUCUUCCUUGAUGCCCCCCGGCCCCACCUACUCUUUCCGUUUUUUGCAAUUAUAAUGGUAUUUUUUUAUUUCGGGAUAUUCGGUACUCUAUUAUGGAUUUGUACUAUUUAUAUAAUAUUAAUAAUUCAAAAUAUUAGUUUGAAAAAUAUAAUAUUAAUUCAAACACAAAUAUAAACAAACUUAAAAUUAUACCAAAUCUAAAAUACAAAAUAAUAAAAUAUAAGUUAAAUCGAUAUAUUUUUUAAAUCUCAAAUACAAACUUGAAAAAUAUAUCUAAAGGGAAUGAAAUUACAUUCGGGAAAGCAUAUGACUACAAAAGAAUAGUUUAUUUUACAGUGUGUUUGUGGUAUUUUUUAAAGAAUAUUUUUUGUUUGAAUACAUGUUAAUAAUGAUAUUUUUUUAUUUUUUAAAAAUUAUUUUUGACAUCAAUAUAUCAAAAUGAUUUGAAAAUGUUAAAAACAUAUUAAGUUAAAAAUUAAAAAAAAUCAAAUUUUUUCAAAAAUAUUUUUAAAAUAUAAAAACAAAAAAAUCCCUUGUUUUACCGGUGAAGUAGAUUGUGCACGUGGACUGCUGGAAAGUAUAUGGCCCCUCCCUUACGAUGGCCCGGGCUAGCUGUGUGUGAUUAAUGUUUAUUGUUUUAUAUAUUAUAUCGAUAUCAAUAAUAAAUUUUAAAAAAUAUUUUAAUAUAUUUCUAUAAAAAAACAAUUAUUAUCACCCUUUUAAAUACUUCAUUAAAAUAACGUAAUAUAUAUUUAUUAAACAACGGAUUUUCCGCCCGAGUCAAAAUGAUGAUUUAAUUCGACCGGCAUCCUCAUUCCCCCCUUAAAAAACCCUAGCGAGCUUGCUUAGCCUAACCAGAGGCUGACAGCCAGAGUCCUUCCCUCCGGAUAAUGUAGCAGGAAUCAUAAAACAUUCAACAGAAGAUUUUGUGCUAGGAAAAACUCCCAGAAAGUACGCUAGGGACUUCUCUUAAUGAUAUGCUAUCAGUGAAAUUUUGGGAUCUAGGAUCCGCAUUAACUCAGUAGAAAGCAGCUCAUGAAGUAUCGCUUCAAAUAUUAUAUAUAUAGGUAAGUUAACUUCACUGUCAAACGAGAGGUGGAUUACAGAUCAUAUAUACGAUAGUAUACUAGUUGAUCAUAGUCAUAUAUACGCCCUGAAAUGCCACUAGCUGUGGAUUUCGGAUUCCUUUGUAAAGCUUCAAGGUGCAGGCAUCACUCAUGCGAAGCUGGCAACAAUGGCAGCAGAGCUAUCCUACUAUUCAAGCUUCAAGCUAGCAUAUUUGGAUAACAGCUCCUACAUGAAAAUGUGCAAUUCAGUUUACCGAACUCCUGAGAAGCGUUUUCCUUUUGUCAUCCUAUGUGCAAUUCAUGAUGUUACGAGACUGAGAUACAGAACACUGUACAUCCAGUAAUUUUGUUUUGGUGGUCUGGGAUAGGUAGAACUCUGCUCUGGCUUCCUCCUGGUUCAAGCACCGAUCAACCUGAGAAAAUAGAAAGAGAACGAAUUAUAGGUUGUUACAUAAACAUAGAAUUGACUUCUUUGGGAUGCCAAAGUUUCAAGCAUUACUGACCUUCCGCAGGUAAUUGGAGAAGGAAUCACCCCAAAACCACCACUCCAAAGAUAGCUGAGAGUAGUAAGCAGCAGCUUCUGCUAGCAUUAUCUGCUCCAGUUUUUCAUAAUAGUUGGUGGUUCCAUUCCCUCCAACCUCUAAAAAGAAAUCAAGUACCCUCUUUAGUAGGUUCCGAUCAAUCUGCCCCCCUUCACGCUCUUGAAUGAUCUGCCCAUAAAGUCAUAUGCAGGGUUAAACCAACCUCAGAAAGAAGACAACCCAUUAUAAAACAACCAGUGAAUGCUAACUGACCAGCCUCAUCAUUGCUUCCUGCAAUUUACUGAAUAGCUCAUCACAGACCUGAAAAUAAGAUUGGAUAUGAUGCUCAGCCAAAUAGUGUAAGGGAACAGAAGCAAGAAUAAGAACUAAACUACUUCAUGUAGUUACUUACCAAAUUGCAGAAGUCAUAUCUCAUGGAGUCAGCAGGUGAUGGAUGUCUUUUCCUACGGAUGUAGAAAUUAUCCAGGUCUGCAAAGGUUUUUGACAAUUCCUUAUACUCCAGCCAUAAUCGCGUGAUUUCUGUUAAAAGCUCUGUACCAUGUUUGUCCAUUAACACUGGAAGUACCUAAAAGAGCAUGCAAGGAUGGAAAACAACGGGAUGUGUUCAUUAUUAUAUUCAUUGCACUUUGACAAAGAUGAAAGCAAAAGAAAUUGAAACCCUUCUCAACUGCCACGUCUCAUUUCUCCACUUUUGUAAAUUACAAAGACCACCAAUCUAGACUAAGCUAGAUAGCUAGAGAAAACAAAAUUGGGUAUGCAUAACCAUGAGUAAAGCAUCUUGCAAAAUUAUCCUAUGCAAUAAGUUAUAAACAAGAGAGCAUGUCAUAGUGAGAGUUUCUCAUGCUUUGACAUUCUUAGCCAACACAUUUAAGAUACAUGAGAGCCAAUUCUACCAGAGAAAUUAUGCAGAAGCGAAGAAACUGACAGAAUUAUUGAUUAUUUAUGGUAGAAAUCUCACCCUUUCUUGAAUUAUCUCACUUAAACAGUUCGUAUACUUCUCAUAAACCAGGCUGCAAGAGUCCCCACGCUUCCUUGUGCACAAAUUGUAUACACAACUAUCACAAGUGUUAAGGAUAUGCCAAUUCUCGGCAACUAAAAUCACAUUCAGGAAUAUUGAUUUAUCUCGUCAAGUAGAAAAGAAAUCAAGAUAUCAAACUUCGACAUGUAAGUAAACCAUAUUGCAGGAUACUCAUAAGCAAUCAUUUUUUCCGCAGGUGUAAAUGGAAUCACAGGGUGUCCAUCCAUAAUCAUCUUCUUCUUCGUAAUUAUAUCAUCUAUCUUCUUUAGCUUCUCAUUCAACAUCAUGUCAGCAUCCAUCUUCAUUUAGCUGCAGUCGAAAACAUUUAAAAUUGUAAUGAUCGAAGUUCAAAAUCAAAGAAAGAGAUAGCAUGCAUAUCUGUAUUGCACACUCAUCCGACUAUUUCUCAUUUUCCUUUUAAAAAUAGAAUUUCUAAAGUCUACAAUAGCAUCCAAAACCCUUUGAACAGACUAGAAAGUUUCUGGCGUUGACAAUUAAACUUUAUACCAAACAAACUACAUCCAAGGUCCUGCUCUAAUUAAGACCUGAAAAAGGAGUACACUUGUAGUGAAAAAUAUCAAGAGACUACUGCCAUAGGAGACAGUGUACAAGCACACAUUCCAGAACUAAUUCAAGAUUCAAUCAAUAUCCAUAAAGCAUGAAACUUUAGGUGACCCCAUAUACCAAAAAACAUACAACCAGCAGUGUCAAGCAUGUUUGGAGAGAUUAAAAAUUGGACAUUCACAGCCAGACAGAAAAAUCGCAAAAAAAAUACUCAAAGCAAGGAAAUUUACAUCACCCCACAUGCCCCAACACAGAAAGAAACACUAUCAAGCUGGUUGGAAAUCUUAAGAGAUUACAAAUUAGAAACUAAUUUCUUUUCCUACGUUGCACGCAAAACCCCAUCACAAAUUUUGCACCUUUUGACCAUCAAAAUUACAAAUUGUAAUUGUAAUAAUAUUCACUAAAACCCACGUGAUCAAUGGCCAAAAACAAUUAAAAUACGUUCAAGAACUACCUGGUUAAGCAAAAGAGUGAAACAAGAAUCAAAUGCAGCAGAGAGAGAGGAAGUGAAGAAAAAAGUGGGGUUUGCAUUAUACUUAUAGGGAAAGCAGCUUGCAGGGGAAGUUGAAGGGAAAGGUGGGGCUUGCAUAUACUUGUAAGGAGAAGCCACCUUGCAGUGAAAGUUGAUAGGACAUAGGUCCAUAGACCAUAGGCUGUUGUUUCUUAUGUAAUAAUUGUUAUACUUUUUAAAAAUAUUUAAAAAUAUAUUAAAAUAAUAUUUUUUUAAUUUUUAAUAUUAUUAUAUUAAAAAAAACAUGUUAAUUUGAUAUUUUUUCAUAUACAAAAUAAUUUUAAAAAUAAUUUGAAUUAAUUUAAAUAAAAUUCAAUAAAGCAUAAAUAAUGAUAGCCAUAGUUGUAAGAAACUACUUAAAUGAAUUCAUUUGAUUCAAGAUUCAGAUUGAGAAUUAAGUGGUUUAAUAUGUAAAUUAAUUUAUAAAUUAUAAUUUAAAAAAUAAAAUAUAAAAUGAUGUUAUUUUAAUUAUAUAUAAAAAAAAACAAUUCAAAUAAAACUUGAUGUAAACCACAUUUUGGGUCAAUGAAUUACUAGAUUGGCAAGUCAGACAAAGUCAAUUUUUAUAAUUAUGAUAGUAAAGGCUAAGUUGCUUAGUGAAAAAUGGCACUAAAAUAUAAUGUGUUUAGAAAUGUGGUAAUUUUUAUUUUUAUGUGUGUUUUAAAAGUGCAUUUUAUUUGAAAAGAAAGACAAAUAGUAAAUUGAUAUUUUUUUAGUGUUUUUUUUAUAAUUUUAAUGUGUUGAUGUCAAAAAUAAAUAAAAAAUCUAAAAAAAAUAUUUGAUGUAUUUUCAAGCAAAAACUAUUUUAAAAAAAUAUUUUACAUCACAAUACCAAACAUACAUGAUUCAAAUUGAGGACUAAGUGGUUUAAACCGUAGAAUUAAUUUAUAAAUUAUGAUUUAAAAAAUAAAAAUAUGAAAUGAUGUUGUUUAAAAUAUUUUUCUAAACAAUGUUAUUUUAAUUAUAUAUAUAUAUAUAUAUAUAUAAAUUUAGUAAAACUUGAUGUAAACCAUAUCUUGGGUUAAUAAAUUACUAGAUUGACAAAUCAAGCAAAAUCAAGUUUUAUAACUAUGGUUGUAAAUGCUAAGUUGUUUGGUGAAAAGUGGCACUAAAAUAUUAUGAGUAUUUGAAAGUGUUUUAUCUUUUAUUUUUAUAUGUGUUUUAAAAGUGCAUCUCAUUUGAAAAAAAUAUUAAAUUAAUGUGUUUUUUGCUUUUUUAUAAUUUUAAUGUCUUGAUGUCAGAAAUAAAUAAAAAAUCUAAAAAAAAGUAUAUAAUGUAUUUUCAAGUAAAAAUUAUUUUUUAAAAUACUUUAUAUCAUAGAAUUGAGGUUGACUUGACUUGAGGUUGAAAUAUUUAAAAGACAUAUUAUACUAUAACUUAAAAUGCGUGAAUUUUUUUUAUUAUAGAGGCAAUUAUUGUUUAUGCACACACAAAUCACUAUGAAUAGAAUUGUUAUGCACUAUGCAUUUGUUAAAAUUUUAUUUUGGUCCUUAAAGUUUUUUUCUCGAUGAUUUAAUUCUAAUUAAAGGCCAAUUGAUUGUAAUUUUUUAGGAAAAGGUGGGGUUGAAAGAAGAGGGACUAUAAUGAAAAAGGUGUCAAACAUGGAUGACAUGCCAUAAGUUUUGACAACAAAUACACUUUGAUCCUCAAACUUUAAAAAUAACAUAAAUUAUACAAUUUCAGUACCUCAAUAUUUUUCAAGUUUAAUUUUUGUACAAAAACUUAUUUUUAUUAUUUUUUAGUCCCUGACUAGACAGAUGAGAGAAAAAGGUCGUCGAAUUACAAAAGUAGUAAGAGAAAAAAUAUUGUUGAUACCGAUUUAAGUCAUCAAAACAGUCAAUAUUUGUGUCAAAUGGUUCCAAUUGAUGAUGAGAAUUUAUAUUAAGUAUUUUUUUUCCCUAAAAGUCCUUGAAAAUACAUAUACAAGCUCAAUUUGAAUUUUGGUUUCUGGUUUAUUUUAGUUUUUUGGGUGGUUUUUUUUUUCCCCAAGAUAAAUUUAUCACAGUUUUAAUGUUUUCUAGGUUUUUAUUCAAGCCACCUGCCCUAAAUGAAGCAAAAAAAUAAAAAUAAAGACCCAAUCGACCCAUCCUUCCAGGGCAAGUCCAUGCACGAGCCUUGAAGAAAUGGGCUAGUCAGGCCCAACAACACCUAGCUUUUUUCUGUUUUUUAAUUAAUGUUUUUUAUUUUAUUUGUAUUUAGAUUAAUAUCUCUUCUCUAUUUUAUUUUGUUUAAAAAACCUCUUUUAAAUUAGUUAAAAAACAGGUGUUUUGAAAAAAAAAAAAGUUAGAAGUCCAAUUUUCCAAUUAUCAGAAUAUUUUUUUUCAAGUCACCCUACCCCAAAUGCAGCAAAAACAAUAAGGGCUCAGUCGCUCCAUUUUUCAACACAAGUCCAGGCACGAGCCUUGAAAAAAUGAGCCAGACAAGCUAGCUUGAUACAAAAGCGCCUGGUUUUUUUUGUUUUUUUAAUUAAUAUUUUUUUAUUUCAAUAUUUUUUAUUUUAUUUGUAUUUAGAUUAAUAAUUCUUUUCUUUUUUAUUUUGUUUUGAAAGCUUCUUUUAAAUAACAAUUAUUUUUUAGUUAUAUAUAUAAUUUUUGAAAAAAAAUUUCUUAUUCAUCUAUAAUCUUUUAUAAUUUUUUUUAAUAUUUUGUAUAUAUGAACUUUGUUUUGAAGAGGGGAAAAAAUUUAUUUGCAGAUAAUAUAUUGCAUAAUAUUUUUUUAUUUAAAUAAUUAAUGUGUAUUUAUUUAUAUUAUCAUUUAAUUGAAUAAAAAACCAUUUAACUACUUAGAAAAUUUUUAUAUAAACAAGUUAAACCAUUUUUAUAUAACAUUCUACAGAAAAGUUUGUGCUGGGAAGACCCCCAGCAUGUAAUCUAGGGAGAUUUGUCUUAACCAUAUCCUCUCAGUAAAGUUUUGGGAUCUAAGAUCCCUGCCACAUUAACAUCAGAGUGUUUAGAUUUGUGGUUUAGCGUAUUUUUUAAUACUAUUUAAAAAUAUAUUAAAAUAAUAUUUUUUAAAAUUUUUAACAAACAUAUAAAAAAAACUAAAAAGUAUUAUUUUAAAAAAUAAAAAUACGGUUCAACUUUAUCUCCGCGGCACACCACAAAUACAAACACAAAUUACUCGGUAGAAUGCAAGUAGAGAAGUUAUAUAGACAAGUUAAACCAUUUAACUGACUUCAUUGUCACACUCAGGAGAGUUGGAUUGCAGAUCAUACGCAAUUCAUGCUGCUGAAUAUUAUAACAGAACGAUAGUAUACUAGUUUAAAGGAUUUCAUAUUCGUAUAUACACCCUGAAAUGCCACCAGCUGUGGAUUUCGGAUUUCUUUGUAAAGCUCCAAGGCGCAGGCAUCACUCAUGCGAAGCUGGCAACAAUGGCAGCAGAGCUGUCCUACUAUUCAAGCUUCAAGCUAGCAUAUUUGGAUAACAGCUCCUGUAUGAAAUUGGUUAACUGAUGUUUAGAGACAAUUUCAACUAUCUUAAUCAUCAUGAACUAAAUGUGGAAAUUGAAGAAUACCUGAUCUUCAGCUGCUAUCCCCUCGGCGAUACGCUUCUGAGCCCACUUCUCUGCAUUUCUUUCCAGCAUAACAUAUUUCAUCACCUGCAACGAGGACCACAUCAGUGUAGGAUCAUAGCAGGAUGCCAAACAUGUAAUAACACAGCAUCCAUGGUGUUAUGAACUGAGAUACAGAACACUUUACAUCCAGUAUUUUUGUUUUGGUGGUCGGGGAUGGGUAGAGCUCUGCUCUGACUUCCUCCUGGUUCAAGCACCAAUCAACCUGAAACAACAGAAGGAGAAUGAUGUAUAGAUUACAGGUUGCUACAAAAACAAAGAAUUAGCUUCUUCGGGAUGCCAAAGUUUCAAGCAUCACUGACCUUCCGCAGGUAGUUGGAAAAGGAAUCGCCCCAAAACCACCGCUCCAGAGAUAGCUGAGAGUAGUAGGCAGCAACUUCUGCUAGCAUUAUCUGCUCCAGUUUUUCAUAACAGUUGACGGUUCCUUUUUCCCCCACCUCAAAAAGCAAACAAGAUACAGUCUUUAGGAGGUUCCGAUCAAUCUGCCCCCC
This 36032-nucleotide long non-coding RNA is filed under the name Populus tremula. RNAcentral's name for it is "long non-coding RNA (PTRE_LNC002433)". The record is from RNAcentral. Lineage: Eukaryota; Viridiplantae; Streptophyta; Magnoliopsida; Malpighiales; Salicaceae.